RNAcentral lists this ribosomal RNA (505 nucleotides) under uncultured Synechococcus sp. RNAcentral describes it as "bacterial SSU rRNA". It matches the Rfam family "Bacterial small subunit ribosomal RNA", at positions 340 to 860 of the family's 1533-position model. The record is from RNAcentral. Lineage: Bacteria; Bacillati; Cyanobacteriota; Cyanophyceae; Synechococcales; Synechococcaceae.
UACGGGAGGCAGCAGUGGGGAAUUUUCCGCAAUGGGCGAAAGCCUGACGGAGCAACGCCGCGUGAGGGAUGAAGGCCUCUGGGCUGUAAACCUCUUUUCUCAAGGAAGAAGAUCUGACGGUACUUGAGGAAUAAGCCACGGCUAAUUCCGUGCCAGCAGCCGCGGUAAUACGGGAGUGGCAAGCGUUAUCCGGAAUUAUUGGGCGUAAAGCGUCCGCAGGCGGCCUCGUAAGUCUGUCGUUAAAGCGUGGAGCUUAACUCCAUUUCAGCGAUGGAAACUGUGAGGCUAGAGUGUGGUAGGGGCAGAGGGAAUUCCCGGUGUAGCGGUGAAAUGCGUAGAUAUCGGGAAGAACACCAGUGGCGAAGGCGCUUUUCUGGGCCAUAACUGACGCUCAUGGACGAAAGCCAGGGGAGCGAAAGGGAUUAGAUACCCCUGUAGUCCUCGCCGUAAACGAUGAACACUAGGUGUCGGGGGAAUCGACCCCCUCGGGUCGUAGCCAACGCGU